Molecule: ribosomal RNA, 274 nt
Filed under: uncultured bacterium
Lineage: Bacteria
Description: partial 16S ribosomal RNA
Rfam family: Bacterial small subunit ribosomal RNA
Source: RNAcentral
AUACAGAGGGGGCUAGCGUUGUUCGGAAUUACUGGGCGUAAAGGGCGCGUAGGCGGAUUGUCAAGUCAGAGGUGAAAGCCCUGGGCUCAACCUGGGAACUGCCUUUGAAACUAACGGUCUAGAGUCCGAGAGAGGAUGGCGGAAUUCCCAGUGUAGAGGUGAAAUUCGUAGAUAUUGGGAAGAACACCAGUGGCGAAGGCGGCCAUCUGGCUCGGUACUGACGCUGAGGCGCGAAAGCGUGGGGAGCAAACAGGAUUAGAAACCCCAGUAGUCC